This 1693-nucleotide long non-coding RNA is filed under the name Lotus japonicus. RNAcentral's name for it is "long non-coding RNA (LJAP_LNC000708)". Lineage: Eukaryota; Viridiplantae; Streptophyta; Magnoliopsida; Fabales; Fabaceae. The record is from RNAcentral.
GGGUGUCUUGGGAACUUUCCUCGGAGGCUUAGGCGGCGUUGAAGACUCAGAAGAGAACCCAGAAUGGUGACCAAGAAUCGAAGGCGAAAACGGCGAGGAAGGUCCAGAAUGAUCCGUCUUAAACCGCAACAUAUUCUUGCUGGGACUACUCAUCGGAGAACCAGAGUUACCUGCAGGAGAAGAAGGAGAAGGAGAAGCAAAAUCAGAACCAAAAAUCUCAGACUUCAACAACCUGGAAUAAGCCUCGUUACUCCCUUCUUUCACCGGCGAGGGUUUGUCAAUGAGGCCGAAUGUGUGCAGCCUCGAAGACGAUCUACAGGCAGUUCCACCACCAGACACAAGGAGGUUGCUCUGGUGAGGUGACCAAGCAAUGGCCUUCACAGCAGCAGUGUGUUCUGUAAGUCUCAGAGCUGGUUGUUGAGAGUGCUGAUUCCAUACCAAAAGCUACAAAACAUGACAUUAGAAGAGGCAAGUCAGUAGUAAAACCAAACAAGAAGGAUAAAAUAAAACACUUUUCUGUGUGUUUGAUUUUAAUCAUUACACAAAAUGGCAUACCUGGUUAUCAUUACCACCAGAAGCAAGUUCCCUAUCAUCACAGGACCAUUUCAAUCCACAUACCUGCAAGUUGAAGGAUAACAACUGCUAUCAAUUUCUAUAAUUCCAAUUGAUCUUUAACAUAACAAGUUCAUUCAUUGUGUGUGUGGCACAACACAUAAUUUACAUAAUCUUUUUACCUCAGACUUGUGGCCAACUAGUUUUCCAACAAAGUCACUUGAAACCCUCAUGUCAUGCUGAAGGAUGUUCCUGUCCCUGCUCCCUGAAGCCAAAAUGCGAGAAUUCCAUGCCAAGACACCCGUUCUUGUCUGAUGCCCUCCCAUUGUUCUGACCUUCUUGCAUUGAGUUCCAUCCCAAACCUGUUCCACAAGGCCAAAGUUCUCACUCUUAUUCUCAAUCAUCAAAUACAUGAAUGGAUAAUCAUAAACCAAAUCAAAUUGAGCUAGCAACAAGGUACCUGAACUUGACCAAGCGAUGUACCGACCGAAAUAAAAGAACCCUCUUUGGUCCACUGGACAGAACAAACACCAUCAUAAGGCCCCAAGUCACAAAGCUUAGUCACCUGAAGAACAAAACCACAUAAAGAUAAGUCCACUUUAAAUAAACUUCUUGAGAGGUGUUUCUCAUAAACAUUGUAUCAAACAGUUGGCAGGCAUAGACUCACUCUGCUGUUUGAAGCACUCCAGAGAUAAACACAAGUUCCAAGCCCCACAGCUAGAACAUUCUGUGAGGACCAGUCCACAAGAUUCAAGUAAAAGUCAUCUUGAAGUGAAGGAGCAUCCAGAACCUGCACACAUUCAUGUCCAGUUUCAUCAAUCAACAUUCAAAAACCCAAUUACAUUUCAUGCUCAAAAUUCAAAAAGGAAGAGGAAUAAUCAAAGCUUACCUUGUGGGGUGUCUUGGGAACUUUCCUCGGAGGCUUAGGCGGCGUUGAAGACUCAGAAGAGAACCCAGAAUGGUGACCAAGAAUCGAAGGCGAAAACGGCGAGGAAGGUCCAGAAUGAUCCGUCUUAAACCGCAACAUAUUCUUGCUGGGACUACUCAUCGGAGAACCAGAGUUACCUGCAGGAGAAGAAGGAGAAGGAGAAGCAAAAUCAGAACCAAAAAUCUCAGACUUCAACAACCUGGAAUAAGCCUC